CCUACGGGAGGCAGCAGUGGGGAAUAUUGCACAAUGGGGGGAACCCUGAUGCAGCGACGCCGCGUGAGUGAAGAAGUAUCUCGGUAUGUAAAGCUCUAUCAGCAGGGAAGUAAAUGACGGUACCUGACUAAGAAGCCCCGGCUAACUACGUGCCAGCAGCCGCGGGAAUACGUAGGGGGCAAGCGUUAUCCGGAUUUACUGGGGGUAAAGGGAGCGCAGACGGGUGUGCAAGUCUGGAGUGAAAGGCGGGGGCCCAAACCCCGGACUGCACUGGAAACUGUAAAGUUGGAGUGCAGGAGAGGUAAGCGGAAUUCCUGGUGGAGCGGUGAAAUGCGUAGAUAUUAGGAGGAACACCAGUGGCGAAGGCGGCUUACUGAACUGCAACUGACGUUGAGGCUCGAAAGCGUGGGGAGCAAACAGGAUUAGAUACCCUGGUAGUC
RNAcentral lists this ribosomal RNA (440 nucleotides) under uncultured bacterium. Its description in RNAcentral is "partial 16S ribosomal RNA". It matches the Rfam family "Bacterial small subunit ribosomal RNA", at positions 338 to 795 of the family's 1533-position model. The record is from RNAcentral.